GCCGGGCGUGGUGGCGCGCGCCUGUAGUCCCAGCUACUCGGGAGGCUGAGGCAGGAGGAUCGCUUGAGCCCAGGAGUUCUGGGCUGUAGUGCGCUAUGCCGAUCGGGUGUCCGCACUAAGUUCGGCAUCAAUAUGGUGACCUCCCGGGAGCGGGGGACCACCAGGUUGCCUAAGGAGGGGUGAACCGGCCCAGGUCGGAAACGGAGCAGGUCAAAACUCCCGUGCUGAUCAGUAGUGGGAUCGCGCCUGUGAAUAGUCACUGCACUCCAGCCUGGGCAACAUAGCGAGACCCCGUCUCUU
Camelus dromedarius (Arabian camel) is the source of this 300-nucleotide unclassified non-coding RNA. It matches the Rfam family "Metazoan signal recognition particle RNA". Rfam says of the family: The signal recognition particle (SRP) is a universally conserved ribonucleoprotein. It is involved in the co-translational targeting of proteins to membranes. The record is from Ensembl. NCBI's taxonomy places the organism in Eukaryota, Metazoa, Chordata, Mammalia, Artiodactyla, Camelidae.